Molecule: long non-coding RNA, 1970 nt
Filed under: Bos indicus x Bos taurus (hybrid cattle)
Lineage: Eukaryota; Metazoa; Chordata; Mammalia; Artiodactyla; Bovidae
Description: lncRNA (ENSBIXG00000015032.1)
Rfam family: Small nucleolar RNA SNORD116 (bases 697-785)
Source: RNAcentral
GCCAGGUUGAGUGGCCCAAAAUGGAAGACUGUUGGCAACAGGUUACCCAUCGCAUAUUCCAUGAUAGCCAGCCUCUCGAGAUGAAUAUCAUGAAUCCCCAGAGACAACUGGACAAGUGGGCCUUGCGUGUACAGAUGGAACAACCAUGGCGGCCAGGUUGAGUGGCCCAAAAUGGAAGACUGUUGGCAACAGGUUACCCAUCGCAUAUUCCAUGAUAGCCAGCCUCUCGAGAUGAAUAUCAUGAAUCCCCAGAGACAACUGGACAAGUGGGCCUUGCGUGUACAGAUGGAACAACCAUGGCGGCCAGGUUGAGUGGCCCAAAAUGGAAGACUGUUGGCAACAGGUUACCCAUCGCAUAUUCCAUGAUAGCCAGCCUCUCGAGAUGAAUAUCAUGAAUCCCCAGAGACAACUGGACAAGUGGGCCUUGCGUGUACAGAUGGAACAACCAUGGCGGUAAGCGGCCUUUCGUCAAGGAGACCUAGUGGUUUGGCUCCAGGGAUCUGGGCAUGGGCUUCACACUCUCACCUUCUGGGGUUUCCCUGGGGCAUGCAAGGUCCCAGGCCCACAGGCUUAGCUGUAAUUCCUGCCUCUUGGCUGGGAUCUGUGCAGUUCCAACUGCUGAUGUGAUUGAGAUUGCUGGCCUUCCAAGGGUGGAGGUCCUGACUUUGCUCAUUCAGCAUCUGAGCACAUGCACUUAGAUGGAUGAUGAUUCCCACAAAGGCAGUCUUGAAAAUUGGACAAAAUGAGUUAUCAAUCCUUAUCAUGUCUCUUUGGAACUAAGAUCCAGCAUGUGGCUCCCAGAGGGAUGGAAUGGCCAGGGUCACAUUGCCUUUGCUCCCUGGGGCAUCAGCGGCAACAGCAUGGAAGCUGAGAGUGACAACCUUGUGGUGUGUAGGUGCAUUUGGAGCGAAGGACAACAGUGGCAGAUUUAUGGACCAUCCAACAGUUUUCCUCUCCCAUAAUCAGUUCCUCUCUGGCGGAAUUCCAGAUCCACAAGUGGUUGGUAUCAUGUCCUGUCUUGUCCUGGUGGCCAAUUAUGAGGCAAAGGGGAUGUAUGAGGCAAACAGAAAACAUCUCUCCAUGUUCUCCCUGUGUGCAUGGCAUAAGGUGUGCCUCAGGAUAUCCACAUGUUAUCUCUAUAUCCAGCCCACCUAUCCUUUCCCCAGUUUAGGAGUUUUUCCUGGAAUUCAGUGGGCUGGACCCGGUGAAAACAGAGGAGUCAGUUGCCCACAUAAGCGGAUGCUGUCUUAAGGACAGGAGAGGCUUUCUGUCACAGGGGUCUUUUUGUUUUGUGGCCUGCUGGUGCAGCAACACUGUGGUCUCUUGUGUUCCUAGCCUCAAGCCAGAGACAUCAUCAUGGGUUCAGCAGCUGCAGCUGUUUCUGGAUUCUGUCAUGGCAUGGCUUGUGCUGUCAAGAUGGUCAUGGAUCACGUGGGUCUUGUGUUGUCUCCGGGGCCACUGUAGUGAUGUUUCACUGCCUUAAAAAGUGCAAUACAUCACAAUGAGUAACUUACAUGCUGUAAAAAGGGUGGAGCGCCACAUCUUUGCGUUUCAGAAUAGUUCCAAUGGCCUGUAGCUUUUUGUGUUUUUCAAGCUAAACACUUGUAGCACGGCUGUAGUCUGGGAAACAAGCACACUUGUGUGCUACCUAGAUUGUUCACAGCUGUACUGUGGAGCCCCUUUGUUGCACAGCCCAAGAACUAGUUUCAUGGAUAAUCUCCUUGUCAAAGGAGGGCCUUAUUCUUAUGCAAGCUCUCAGAUACCUUUGUUCCUUCCCCAUGGUGGUGAGACCAUUUUGAGCAGAGUAGGUACCAAGAGUGUGUUUUCCUGGAGGGACAGUGGUAGUUCAGACAAGGUGGCCUCCUUCCCCUGAGGGUGAAUUGGGGUUUCUUAGAGGUUAUCUUUACAUUGGGUGAAAAAGUUGGCUUAAAGCUCAACAUUCAGAAAACGAAGAUCAUGGCAUCUGGUCC